AGAGUUUGAUCCUGGCUCAGAUUGAACGCUGGCGGCAUGCUUUACACAUGCAAGUCGAACGGCAGCACGGGUGCUUGCACCUGGUGGCGAGUGGCGGACGGGUGAGUAAUACAUCGGAACGUGUCCUGAAGUGGGGGAUAACGCAUCGAAAGAUGUGCUAAUACCGCAUAUACUCUGAGGAGGAAAGUAGGGGAUCGAAAGACCUUAUGCUUUUGGAGCGGCCGAUGUCUGAUUAGCUAGUUGGUAAGGUAAUGGCUUACCAAGGCAACGAUCAGUAGUUGGUCUGAGAGGACGGCCAGCCACACUGGGACUGAGACACGGCCCAGACUCCUACGGGAGGCAGCAGUGGGGAAUUUUGGACAAUGGGCGCAAGCCUGAUCCAGUAAUGCCGCGUGAGUGAAGAAGGCCUUCGGGUUGUAAAGCUCUUUCAGUCGAGAAGAAAAGGUUGUGACUAAUAAUCAUAACUCAUGACGGUAUCGACAGAAGAAGCACCGGCUAACUACGUGCCAGCAGCCGCGGUAAUACGUAGGGUGCGAGCGUUAAUCGGAAUUACUGGGCGUAAAGGGUGCGCA
Molecule: ribosomal RNA, 572 nt
Filed under: uncultured bacterium
Lineage: Bacteria
Description: bacterial SSU rRNA
Rfam family: Bacterial small subunit ribosomal RNA
Source: RNAcentral